AUACGUAGGGGGCAAGCGUUAUCCGGAUUUACUGGGUGUAAAGGGAGCGCAGACGGCUAUGUAAGUCUGAAGUGAAAGCCCGCGGCUCAACCGCGGGACUGCUUUGGAAACUAUGUAGCUUGAGUGUCGGAGAGGUAAGCGGAAUUCCAAGUGUAGCGGUGAAAUGCGUAGAUAUUUGGAAGAACACCGGUGGCGAAGGCGGCUUACUGGACGAUAACUGACGUUGAGGCUCGAAGGCGUGGGGAGCAAACAGGAUUAGAUACCCUGGUAGUCCACGCGGUAAACGAUGAAUACUAGGUGUCGGUGCCCAAAGGGUAUCGGUGCCGUCGCAAACGCAGUAAGUAUUCCACCUGGGGAGUACGUUCGCAAGAAUGAAACUCAAAGGAAUUGACGGGG
This 396-nucleotide ribosomal RNA is filed under the name uncultured bacterium. RNAcentral's name for it is "partial 16S ribosomal RNA". It matches the Rfam family "Bacterial small subunit ribosomal RNA", at positions 523 to 918 of the family's 1533-position model. The record is from RNAcentral.